This 396-nucleotide ribosomal RNA is filed under the name uncultured bacterium. Its description in RNAcentral is "partial 16S ribosomal RNA". It matches the Rfam family "Bacterial small subunit ribosomal RNA", at positions 523 to 918 of the family's 1533-position model. The record is from RNAcentral.
AUACGGAGGAUGCGAGCGUUAUCCGGAUUUAUUGGGUUUAAAGGGUGCGCAGGCGGCGCGAAAAGUCAGCGGUCAAAGUUCCGGGCUCAACCCGGUGACGCCGUUGAAACUUUCGUGCUGGAGUUCGUGCGAGGGAGGCGGAAUGCGUUGUGUAGCGGUGAAAUGCAUAGAUAUGACGCAGAACCCCGAUUGCGAAGGCAGCUUUCCAGCACGCGACUGACGCUGAGGCACGAAAGCGUGGGGAGCGAACAGGAUUAGAUACCCUGGUAGUCCACGCGGUAAACGAUGAAUACUAGCCCUGCGGCGCGAUUGGGUGCUGCGGGGCAGAGUGAAAACGUUAAGUAUUCCACCUGGGGAGUACGCCGGCAACGGUGAAACUCAAAUGAAUUGACGGGG